UAUCUAGAUCUACUCUAGUUUAGAGAAGAGAGGAGAGCUCUCAUCUCUAAACCCUAGCUUUUGCUCUGUCUAUGAAUAAUGAAUAAUGAUCAAGGGGGUUGCCUCCUCCAGGGGCCAGGGGGUCUGGUUUUAUAGUCCCCUCAAGUGAACCUGGGCCGUCGGAUCAAACCGACAUUGAUUGAACGGUUAUUCUUGAUCCUUUAGGUCGGUGGAGCAUAAUCCGCGAGAUUGAGCGUGAUUGGCCGAAAAAGGUGGGCGGGCGCCCUAAGGACUUGGGCGGGCGCCCUGUCCCUGACUCCGUUCGGUCUCCGCUUCCUUCCCGUGGCUUCUGGAGUCUUCUAGAUGUAAGAUAAUUGCGCGGCACGUUGAUAUCUCUAUGUAAUCCCGACGUGUGGGCUUUUCUUCCUUAUUUCCUGAUAACCCCCUGCAGAAAU
Molecule: long non-coding RNA, 434 nt
Filed under: Sorghum bicolor (sorghum)
Lineage: Eukaryota; Viridiplantae; Streptophyta; Magnoliopsida; Poales; Poaceae
Description: long non-coding RNA (SBIC_LNC005350)
Source: RNAcentral